Molecule: long non-coding RNA, 978 nt
Filed under: Marmota monax (woodchuck)
Lineage: Eukaryota; Metazoa; Chordata; Mammalia; Rodentia; Sciuridae
Source: RNAcentral
CUUCAUUUCAGAGAAGAACCCUUUUUCCAAGGCCUUCAGAAUUACUUAUUGUUUGUAGGGCUGCCACAAGUGUAUCUCUGCUUUUUUAAACAAAAAAAAAAUUAUUUUCACUUUUCAACAUCCAUGUACUCCUGUGAUUUCAGGCUAUCCUCCCCUGCCCAAAUUGGUCCAAACUUACCUUGUUCCUAUCUAUUCCUAAGAAUUAGCUGAGAUACCUCAGACAUCACCUUGAGGACAUUUAUGAAGACCUCUGACUUUAGCUUUCCUCUAUGAGUGGUGCCCCUUGUCAGGAGGGGUCUGAGUCUGGAUGAUCUUACAUGGCUUCUCUUGGAAGCAAUGGGGACAAUUGUGUCUGCAAUGACCCUUGCAUUUGCAGAAGGUGCACUGGAAUACUUUGGUUCUCUUGUGCCUGUGCCUUGGCACUGCUUCCUCCGAUGGCAUAUUGCCUGCCUUCACAGGUGUCUGACUCCCACAAAGAAUCUGGAAUCUUGACUUGAAUCUCAGUUUUGGGACUAGCCAGAAAAUGGCCUGUGUUGAUAGCUGCAUUCAUACCACAUUGACGUCCCUUGAUUCUCCAGUACAGGAGUGGGCUGUUAGUGAAGGUGGCACCUCUCAGCAAUUCCACCCACUGCUCCUCCAGUUUCCUCUUCAAGUGCAGAAAGAGAAUGCAGCCCACAGUGAUCACAGAGCAUAGCUACAGCAAUUCAAAGUACAAUUUUCUCCCACACUGAGGAUGAAAAAAAUAAAGGAAAGUUGACUGACAGCUGUAGGUUGAGACCUGAACACUUACUGAACAUUUCACACAGACUUAAUCAGUUUGUUCCCAUACAGGAGGUGGAAGAGGUGUUUCAUCAGCACUAAUGCCAACAGGGGAGGGAUGCCUCAGUGCACCAAGAUGAAGCUGAUGUACUCUUUCCAUUUAGAAAAAGGCCACCUUAUACUUGAUUUGGAAUCUGGUGAAUUAAGGGAAGAAUGGGG